AGAGUUAAACAGUACGUGAAAUUGUUGAAAGGGAAACGAUUGAAGUCAGUCAUACCAACGGGAAAUCAACCUUUUGAGCUUGGUUUCGUGGGUUUUGAAGAGUUUCAAAGCCUUCGGAUUCGCGAGAUUGGGAUCUCUCGGUGUACUUUCUCGUACGGUUAGUCAACAUCGGUUUUGAAUGUCAUAAAAUGACUGGAGGAAUGUAGCUUCGAUCUCGUAUUGAAGUGUUAUAGCCUUUGGUAGAUGUGAUGUUUGAGACCGAGGAUUGCAACGGAUACCCUUCAGGGCUAUUCGUCUGAUCUCUGAUACGUUGCCCUGAUGUUGAAAGCUUGCUUAUGAUGUUAGGGUAUUACGGUCAAAAGGUUAGAACUCAUUAGAUUCGUUAAGGAUGUUGACGAAAUGGUUUUAAACGACC
RNAcentral lists this ribosomal RNA (415 nucleotides) under uncultured fungus. RNAcentral's name for it is "eukaryotic LSU rRNA". The record is from RNAcentral. Lineage: Eukaryota; Fungi.